CGGGUGAGUAACGCGUGAGGAACCUGCCUCAAAGAGGGGGACAACAGUUGGAAACGACUGCUAAUACCGCAUAAGCCCACGGCUCGGCAUCGAGCAGAGGGAAAAGGAGUGAUCCGCUUUGAGAUGGCCUCGCGUCCGAUUAGCUAGUUGGUGAGGUAACGGCCCACCAAGGCGACGAUCGGUAGCCGGACUGAGAGGUUGAACGGCCACAUUGGGACUGAGACACGGCCCAG
Molecule: ribosomal RNA, 233 nt
Filed under: uncultured bacterium
Lineage: Bacteria
Description: partial 16S ribosomal RNA
Rfam family: Bacterial small subunit ribosomal RNA
Source: RNAcentral